Long non-coding RNA from Helicoverpa armigera (cotton bollworm), 1916 nucleotides. RefSeq lists it as uncharacterized. The transcript has 2 exons. Lineage: Eukaryota; Metazoa; Arthropoda; Insecta; Lepidoptera; Noctuidae. The record is from RefSeq and is a predicted model, not a curated record.
GUUGUUUAUUGUGAUCAAUGUGUUGUCACUAACCUGACAUUGUAAUUAUGUAAAUCAAUCAAGUGUCCAUUGUAAGUGUGUAUAAACUGCUCAUUUUGAUUGUGUUGGAAAUGAUUUACAUAAUGUUCGUUAAUUAUUUGUUCCCAAUCGGUAACUGUAUAUAGUUAGUUCGAUGAUGUUCAUUCGUAUAGUUUUGUUUAACAUACUACACCCAGUAGCACUAUUUCUUUUCUUUAUUCAUUUGACUGUAUUUUUAAUCAUUAUUCCCCAUCUCUUCUUAUCUCUCAAGAAUUAGGGAAACGUUUAGUUUUAGAUUCGAUUAUGUCAUCUUCUAGUAAUUUUAUUAUUUGCCCUACUCAAUCACCCGGGAACAUGUUACUCGCUGUAUAAUUAUAUUUUCUCUUCAUUCAUUCAACAUAUUAAGGCACUAGCGUGUUUACAUAAACUCCUUAUCAAAAAUCUCAUCCGUAUGAAGCUUAUAAAUAGCUCGGUUCCUUCCUGUUUUGUACAAUGACUACUAAUUAUUUCAUAUCACUGAAAAAUCGUGUGAUCGCACAACUGUUAAUUAAGGUUAAAGCAAGGACAUCCGCAAUAACUGUUGUUGAUAAUUUCAUCUUACAAUCUAGAUUCAAGUAUUCAGAAGAAAGCGUUUUUAUAAUUCGGGGUUGACGCAUCAUGUAUUCUUCUUCCAUGUUUUUACUUUGUAGCCAUCCACGUUCAUGUUCAAAAACUUCCUCAUAAUAGGAUCCAUUCCUCCAUACCAUGACAGCUGGUUUCCAAAUAGCAUGUCGGUAAUCUGUGCCAUUUUCAAUUUCCUCUUUCGUACUCUUUCCAUUCGAGUAAUCUUCGCUACAUGCAUUUGUCUUCGAUUCUUACUUUUGUGGGCCAGGGGGUCUACUCUAAUUCACCGAAAAACGAACUUUCGUACGAAAUUUCGCGAACUUCUUACCACGGUUCCAUUUCCUUCCGAAAUUUCGUACGAACGAAGAUUGUUUGACGUUUAUUGUCUAUAAACCUACUCUAAUUCGAAAUGAUACGAACGAAUAUUUGAGUUUGACAGACGAAACUUCGGAAUUUUAACCUCAAAUUCAACGAAACCAAAAGAGUUAUCGUUUGAUUUUCGUGUUACUUUUCGUUUUGUGAAUUUUGUGUGAAAAUUAUUGGCAAAGGCUAUAAAAAUGCUUUUAAUUAAAGCAGCUUUACGUGAAGAUCGUGUAGAGCGAAGAAGGAACCGGCAGUGCUUGCGCAAUCAAUUAAAUAUUAGCGAAAUUCCCGACGUAGAGUUUGUAGGAAAUCACAGAGUCAGUCGGCAAUUUUUCGAAGAGUUGUGCCAGGAAUUCAUGCCUUUAUUACCUCCAAACAAUGCAUAUUUCAAUUGCUAGACCUUCUGGAGCAUGAGGAACAAUAUUUUAAUCGAAAAUAUUUUCAUUCUCUUAACACCCAAGUUGUAAGUAUAAGAACUAAACAUCAAUUAUUUAAUUGAGGCGUUGACUGUUGUUUAUUAUGAUGCUGAUCAUCUAUCCUUUAUUAUUUUUCAGAUAUGUGACAGUGAUUACUAUAUAACAAAUGUGGAUGUGUCAUUUGGUGGAGCAACACACAUGAUGCUUAUAUUUGGAGAGAUUAGAAGCCACUUGGAAGGUCUCCAGAAUGAAACAGUUUAUCUGUUAGGUGACUCUGGGUAUGCUCUAAGGGGCAUAUGAUGAUACCUAUACAUAAAGCUGUUGAAGAUUCUCUUGAAGGCAGAUACAACUUUGCAGAGCUUUGUUAGUGCAAAUUUUAGAAAGGGAUAGGUAGAACAAAGUUCUACUCAAGCACAUCAUAACAUGCUCCAGAAGAACUAUGUUUAUUGAUUUUAAGAAUUUGACAUGAUGUUAUUUCUUUCCUUUAGAGUUAAAUAAAAGAAUAAAUUAUAUACC